Molecule: long non-coding RNA, 397 nt
Organism: Trichosurus vulpecula (common brushtail)
Lineage: Eukaryota; Metazoa; Chordata; Mammalia; Diprotodontia; Phalangeridae
Exons: 3
Source: RefSeq, a predicted model, not a curated record
UGACAAGUCACUCCAACUCGAAAAACCUUAGUUAUACCUGUGCAAUUUGGAGAGCCACCUGAUACCACCUAACUUCCUAAGGUCGUGGUGAGGAGACAGUUCUGCACAUCUGAAAGUCUUACAGGCAUGGGAGGAAACGCACAGAAGAAGUGUGGAUCAUCUGCCUGGGUGGCAAAUGUUUUCUCACUACACAUUCCUACCCUGAGGAAUGAAACCAUGCCAUUAGAGCGGAAUAAACCGGAUGGGAGAGCCAACUGCACAGCAAUAGGUGGGACACUGAUAACUGACUCCAUAUCAGUCACAUCUGAAGUCCACAAGCUGGAAGGAACUUGCUGAGAGCCAGGUGGUCAGAGGGGAUCAAGGAAAAGAAACCUAAAGGAAUGAGGACACUUUCAGA